This 484-nucleotide ribosomal RNA is filed under the name uncultured bacterium. RNAcentral's name for it is "partial 16S ribosomal RNA". It matches the Rfam family "Bacterial small subunit ribosomal RNA", at positions 30 to 507 of the family's 1533-position model. The record is from RNAcentral.
AUUGAACGCUGGCGGCAGGCCUAACACAUGCAAGUCGAGCGGAUGAAGGGAGCUUGCUCCUGGAUUCAGCGGCGGACGGGUGAGUAAUGCCUAGGAAUCUGCCUGGUAGUGGGGGAUAACGUCCGGAAACGGGCGCUAAUACCUCAUACGUCCUGAGGGAGAAAGUGGGGGAUCUUCGGACCUCACGCUAUCAGAUGAGCCUAGGUCGGAUUAGCUAGUUGGUGGGGUAAAGGCCUACCAAGGCGACGAUCCGUAACUGGUCUGAGAGGAUGAUCAGUCAAACUGGAACUGAGACACGGCCCAGACUCCUACGGGAGGAAGCAGUGGGGAAUAUUGGACAAUGGGCGAAAGCCUGAUCAAGACAUGCCGCGUGUGUGAAGAAGGUCUUCGGAUUGUAAAGCACUUUAAGUUGGGAGGAAGGGCAGUAAGUUAAUACCUUGCUGUUUUGACGUUACCAACAGAAUAAGCACCGGCUAACUUCGUG